GACGAACGCUGGCGGCGUGCUUAACACAUGCAAGUCGAACGGAAAGGCCCUGCUUUUGUGGGGUGCUCGAGUGGCGAACGGGUGAGUAACACGUGAGUAACCUGCCCUUGACUUUGGGAUAACUUCAGGAAACUGGGGCUAAUACCGGAUAGGAGCUCCUGCUGCAUGGUGGGGGUUGGAAAGUUUCGGCGGUUGGGGAUGGACUCGCGGCUUAUCAGCUUGUUGGUGGGGUAGUGGCUUACCAAGGCUUUGACGGGUAGCCGGCCUGAGAGGGUGACCGGCCCCAUGGGGACUGGGAUACGGCCCAGACUCCUACGGGGGGCAGGAGUGGGGAAUAUGGCAAAAGGGGCGGAAGCCUGAUGCAGCACCGCCGGGUGCGGGAUGACGGCCUUCGGGUUGUAAACCGCUUUCGCCUGUGACGAGGCGUGGGUGAGGGUAAUGGGGAAAAAAGCACCGGCUAACUACGU
Molecule: ribosomal RNA, 467 nt
Filed under: uncultured bacterium
Lineage: Bacteria
Description: partial 16S ribosomal RNA
Rfam family: Bacterial small subunit ribosomal RNA
Source: RNAcentral